Molecule: ribosomal RNA, 440 nt
Filed under: uncultured bacterium
Lineage: Bacteria
Description: bacterial SSU rRNA
Rfam family: Bacterial small subunit ribosomal RNA
Source: RNAcentral
CCUANGGGAGGCAGCAGUGGGGAAUAUUGCACAAUGGGCGAAAGCCUGAUGCAGCAACGCCGCGUGAGUGAUGAAGGCCUUCGGGUUGUAAAGCUCUGUCUUUGGGGACGAUAAUGACGGUACCCAAGGAGGAAGCCACGGCUAACUACGUGCCAGCAGCCGCGGUAAUACGUAGGUGGCAAGCGUUGUCCGGAUUUACUGGGCGUAAAGGAUGCGUAGGUGGAUAUGCAAGUCAGAUGUGAAAUACCCGGGCUCAACUCGGGUGCUGCAUUUGAAACUAUAUAUCUAGAGUGCAGGAGAGGUAAGUGGAAUUCCUAGUGUAGCGGUGAAAUGCGUAGAGAUUAGGAAGAACACCAGUGGCGAAGGCGACUUACUGGACCGUAACUGACACUGAGGCAUGAAAGCGUGGGGAGCAAACAGGAUUAGAUACCCUGNUANUC